UCCGUAGGUGAACCUGCGGAGGGAUCAUUACAAGUGACCCCGGUCUAACCACCGGGAUGUUCAUAACCCUUUGUUGUCCGACUCUGUUGCCUCCGGGGCGACCCUGCCUUCGGGCGGGGGCUCCGGGUGGACACUUCAAACUCUUGCGUAACUUUGCAGUCUGAGUAAAUUUAAUUAAUAAAUUAAAACUUUUAACAACGGAUCUCUUGGUUCUGGCAUCGAUGAAGAACGCAGCGAAAUGCGAUAAGUAAUGUGAAUUGCAGAAUUCAGUGAAUCAUCGAAUCUUUGAACGCACAUUGCGCCCCCUGGUAUUCCGGGGGGCAUGCCUGUUCGAGCGUCAUUUCACCACUCAAGCCUCGCUUGGUAUUGGGCAACGCGGUCCGCCGCGUGCCUCAAAUCGACCGGCUGGGUCUUCUGUCCCCUAAGCGUUGUGGAAACUAUUCGCUAAAGGGUGCUCGGGAGGCUACGCCGUAAAACAAACCCAUUUCUAAGGUUGACCUCGGAUCAGGUAGGGAUACCCGCUGAACUUAAGCAUAUCAAUAAGCGGAGGAAAAGAAACCAACAGGGAUUGCCCCAGUAACG
Molecule: ribosomal RNA, 582 nt
Filed under: uncultured fungus
Lineage: Eukaryota; Fungi
Description: eukaryotic LSU rRNA
Rfam family: 5.8S ribosomal RNA (bases 187-340)
Source: RNAcentral